This 253-nucleotide ribosomal RNA is filed under the name uncultured bacterium. RNAcentral's name for it is "partial 16S ribosomal RNA". It matches the Rfam family "Bacterial small subunit ribosomal RNA", at positions 524 to 776 of the family's 1533-position model. The record is from RNAcentral.
UACGUAGGGGGCAAGCGUUGUCCGGAAUCAUUGGGCGUAAAGAGCGUGUAGGCGGCUUGGUAAGUCCGCUGUGAAAGUCCAGGGCUCAACCCUGGAAUGCCGGUGGAAACUGUCAGGCUCGAGUCCGGAAGAGGCGAGUGGAAUUCCUGGUGUAGCGGUGAAAUGCGCAGAUAUCAGGAGGAACACCAAUGGCGAAGGCAAUCCCCUGGGCCUGCACUGACGCUCAUGCACGAAAGCGUGGGGAGCAAACAGG